Molecule: non-coding RNA, 26 nt
Filed under: Homo sapiens (human)
Lineage: Eukaryota; Metazoa; Chordata; Mammalia; Primates; Hominidae
Source: RNAcentral
UUAAGAUGGAUUAUUGUGCUGCUUGC